GAUGAAGAACGCAGCGAAAUGCGAUAAGUAAUGUGAAUUGCAGAAUUCAGUGAAUCAUCGAAUCUUUGAACGCACAUUGCGCCCGCUAGUAUUCUGGCGGGCAUGCCUGUUCGAGCGUCAUUUCAACCAUCAAGCCCUGUUUAGGCUUGUGUUGGGGCCCUGCGGUUGCCGCAGCCCCCUAAAUGCAGUGGCGGGCUCGUUGUCACUCCGAGCGCAGUAGCGUAUCUCGCUCUGGGCGUGGCGGCGGGUGCUAGCCGUGAAACACCCCCUAUCUUAAGGUUGACCUCGGAUCAGGUAGGAAUACCCGCUGAACUUAAGCAUAUCAAUAAGCGGAGGA
Molecule: unclassified non-coding RNA, 337 nt
Filed under: soil metagenome
Description: partial contains 5.8S ribosomal RNA, internal transcribed spacer 2, and large subunit ribosomal RNA
Rfam family: 5.8S ribosomal RNA (bases 1-120)
Source: RNAcentral